RNAcentral lists this ribosomal RNA (447 nucleotides) under Actinomycetales bacterium. RNAcentral describes it as "bacterial SSU rRNA". It matches the Rfam family "Bacterial small subunit ribosomal RNA", at positions 24 to 487 of the family's 1533-position model. The record is from RNAcentral. Lineage: Bacteria; Bacillati; Actinomycetota; Actinomycetes; Actinomycetales.
UCAGGACGAACGCUGGCGGCGUGCUUAACACAUGCAAGUCGAGCGACAGCAUCUUUCGGGGUGUAUGGAGCGGCGAACGGGUGAGUAACACGUGGGCAACCUGCCCUCAGCUCUGGGAUAACUCCGGGAAACCGGGGCUAAUACCGGAUACGACUGCUCCUGGCAUCUGGGGUGGUGGAAAGUUCUUCGGCUGAGGAUGGGCCCGCGGCCUAUCAGCUUGUUGGUGGGGUCACGGCCCACCAAGGCGACGACGGGUAGCCGGCCUGAGAGGGCGACCGGCCACACUGGGACUGAGACACGGCCCAGACUCCUACGGGAGGCAGCUAGUGGGGAAUAUUGCGCAAUGGGCGAAAGCCUGACGCAGCGACGCCGCGUGAGGGAUGAAGGCCUUCGGGUUGUAAACCUCUUUCAGCAGGGACGAAGCGAGAGUGACGGUACCUGCAGAAG